AGCGAACGCUGGCGGCAGGCCUAACACAUGCAAGUCGAACGGGCAUCUUCGGCUGUCAGUGGCAGACGGGUGCGUACCGCGUAGGAACGUCUCCUUCGGUUCGUAGUAACUCAGGGUAACUUGAGCUAAUACCGGCUACUCCCUCAUGGGUAAAGGUUGACUGCGGAAGGAUCGGUCCGAGUCUGCUUAGAUUGUUGGUGGUGUAACGGCCUACCAAGUCGACGAUAAGUAGCUGGUCUGAGAGGAUGAUCAGCCACACUGAGACUAGGACGCAGCCCAGACUCUUACACGAGGCAGGAGUGGGUGAUAUUGGACAACGGGCGCAAGCCAGAACGAGCCAUGACGCGUGAGUGAUGAAGGUCGGAGGGUAGUAAAGCACGUUUGUCCGGUACGGUAAUGACGGUACCGAAAGAAUAAGCCCCGGCUAACUUCGUG
Molecule: ribosomal RNA, 435 nt
Filed under: uncultured bacterium
Lineage: Bacteria
Description: partial 16S ribosomal RNA
Rfam family: Bacterial small subunit ribosomal RNA
Source: RNAcentral